GACGAACGCUGGCGGCGUGCUUAACACAUGCAAGUCGAACGGAAAGGCCCUGCUUUCGUGGGGUGCUCGAGUGGCGAACGGGUGAGUAACACGUGAGUAACCUGCCCUUGACUUUGGGAUAACUUCAGGAAACUGGGGCUAAUACCGGAUAGGAGCUCCUGCUGAAUGGUGGGGGUUGGAAAGUUUCGGCGGUUGGGGAUGGACGCGCGGCUUAUCAGCUUGUUGGUGGGGUAGUGGCUUACCAAGGCUUUGACGGGUAGCCGGCCUGAGAGGGUGACCGGCCACAUUGGGACUGAGAUACGGCCCAGACUCCUACGGGAGGCAGCAGUGGGGAAUAUUGCACAAUGGGCGGAAGCCUGAUGCAGCAACGCCGCGUGCGGGAUGACGGCCUUCGGGUUGUAAACCGCUUUCGCCUGUGACGAAGCGUGAGUGACGGUAAUGGGUAAAGAAGCACCGGCUAACUACGUG
RNAcentral lists this ribosomal RNA (468 nucleotides) under uncultured bacterium. RNAcentral's name for it is "partial 16S ribosomal RNA". It matches the Rfam family "Bacterial small subunit ribosomal RNA", at positions 28 to 507 of the family's 1533-position model. The record is from RNAcentral.